AUGUCACAAUGUCUGGUCCCACAACCUACCCCUCGCCAUCUCUCCCUACUCCCUCACUCUACCAGUCUCGCCAUCUCUCUACUCCCUCACUCUACCAGUCUCUCCAUCCCCCUACCCUGCUCUCCUCCAUCUCUACUCCCUCACUCUACCAGUCUCUCCAUCUCUCUCUACUCCCUCACUCUACCAGUCUCUCCAUCCCCCCUACCCUGCUCUCCUCCAUCUCUACUCCCUCACUCUACCAGUCUCUCCAUCCCUCACUACCCUGCUCUCCUCCAUCUCUACUCCCUCACUCUACCAGUCUCUCCAUCCCUCACUACCCUGCUCUCCUCCAUCUCUACUCCCUCACCCUACCAGUCUCUCCAUCCCCCCUACCCUGCUCUCCUCCAUCUCUACUCCCUCACUCUACCAGUCUCUCCAUCCCUCACUACCCUGCUCUCCUCCAUCUCUACUCCCUCACUCUACCAGUCUCUCCAUCCCUCACUACCCUGCUCUCCUCCAUCUCUACUCCCUCACUCUACCAGUCUCUCCAUCCCUCACUACCCUGCUCUCCUCCAUCUCUACUCCCUCACUCUACCAGUCUCUCCAUCCCUCACUACCCUGCUCUCCUCCAUCUCUACUCCCUCACCCUACCAGUCUCUCCAUCCCCCCUACCCUGCUCUCCUCCAUCUCUACUCCCUCACUCUACCAGUCUCUCCAUCCCUCACUACCCUGCUCUCCUCCAUCUCUACUCCCUCACUCUACCAGUCUCUCCAUCCCUCACUACCCUGCUCUCCUCCAUCUCUACUCCCUCACCCUACCAGUCUCUCCAUCCCUCCUUACUCCCUCACUCUACCAGUCUCUCCAUCCCUCACUACCCUGCUCUCCUCCAUCUAUACUCUCUCACCCUACCAGUCUCUCCAUCCAUACAUCUGCAGAUCCUAUAGCAGAAAUAGAGACUCCCCCCCUCCCCCAAUAUCAAUUGGCAAAAAUAGUACAAUGAGAGGUCAAACUUGCCACCUCCCUCCUCCCUCCCUCACCUCACCCCCCCCUCCUCACUCACUCACCUCCUACCUCCCUCCUCCUCCCUCCCUCACCUCCCUCCCUCACCUCCUCCCUCACCUCCCUCCCUCCUCCCUCACCUCA
RNAcentral lists this long non-coding RNA (1122 nucleotides) under Oncorhynchus mykiss (rainbow trout). RNAcentral's name for it is "lncRNA (ENSOMYG00000051357.1)". Lineage: Eukaryota; Metazoa; Chordata; Actinopteri; Salmoniformes; Salmonidae. The record is from RNAcentral.